UGGACUGGCUUGCCGCUGGCCUCCCAUCGGAGGCGAGAGGAAAGUCCGGGCAACACAGGGCAUUCCGCUUCCUAACGGGAAGAGGCUCGCGAGGGUCAGACCGUGCAGAAGAGAACAACCGCCUAAGCAGCCGCAAGGCUUGCCGGCAAGGGUGAGAAGGCGGGGUAAGAGCCCACCAGGCCCGUGGUGACACGUGGUGCUGUGCACUCCGGAAGUUGAAAGUUCAUGUAAACCGGCGAAGAAAAAGAGAGGGCGGCCCGUCCGAGCCGGAGGGUGGAACGAUAGAGACCAUGCGGUGACGCUGGCCGUAGAUAAAUGGCAGGCACCUGCCCGCAAGGACAGGAACAGAACCCGGCUUACAGGUUCACUGU
Molecule: RNase P RNA, 371 nt
Filed under: bovine gut metagenome
Description: Bacterial RNase P class A
Rfam family: Bacterial RNase P class A
About the family: Ribonuclease P (RNase P) is a ubiquitous endoribonuclease, found in archaea, bacteria and eukarya as well as chloroplasts and mitochondria. Its best characterised activity is the generation of mature 5'-ends of tRNAs by cleaving the 5'-leader elements of precursor-tRNAs.
Source: RNAcentral